GACGUAGGGCGCAAGCGUUGUCCGGAUUUAUUGGGCGUAAAGAGCUCGUAGGCGGCCUGUCGCGUCGACCGUGAAAACCCGCAGCUCAACUGCGGGCUUGCGGUCGAUACGGGCAGGCUGGAGUUCGGUAGGGGAGACUGGAAUUCCUGGUGUAGCGGUGAAAUGCGUAGAUAUUGGGAGGAACACCGGUGGCGAAGGCGGCCCCCUGGACCGGUACUGACGCUGAGGCGCGAAAGCGUGGGUAGCAAACGGG
Molecule: ribosomal RNA, 253 nt
Filed under: uncultured bacterium
Lineage: Bacteria
Description: partial 16S ribosomal RNA
Rfam family: Bacterial small subunit ribosomal RNA
Source: RNAcentral